CUGCUAAUACCGCAUACGACCUACGGCUGGCAUCAAUCGUAGGUGAAAGGUGGCCUCUACAUGUAAGCUAUCGUUGUAGGAGGGGAUUGCGUCUGAUUAGCUAGUUGGAGGGGUAACGGCCCACCAAGGCGAUGAUCAGUAGCCGGUCUGAGAGGAUGAACGGCCACAUUGGGACUGAGACACGGCCCAAACUCCUACGGGAGGCAGCAGAC
This 212-nucleotide ribosomal RNA is filed under the name uncultured Veillonella sp. RNAcentral's name for it is "partial 16S ribosomal RNA". It matches the Rfam family "Bacterial small subunit ribosomal RNA", at positions 160 to 354 of the family's 1533-position model. Lineage: Bacteria; Bacillati; Bacillota; Negativicutes; Veillonellales; Veillonellaceae. The record is from RNAcentral.